UGGUGGAGUGAUUUGUCUGGUUAAUUCCGUUAACGAACGAGACCUCAGCCUGCUAAUUAGUAUUUGCUAGACUAUCUAGUACAAAACUUCUUAGAGGGACUGUCGGUGAUUAGCCGAUGGAAGUUUGAGGCAAUAACA
This 138-nucleotide ribosomal RNA is filed under the name uncultured eukaryote. RNAcentral's name for it is "partial 18S ribosomal RNA". It matches the Rfam family "Eukaryotic small subunit ribosomal RNA", at positions 1299 to 1458 of the family's 1831-position model. The record is from RNAcentral.